Molecule: long non-coding RNA, 314 nt
Organism: Oreochromis aureus
Lineage: Eukaryota; Metazoa; Chordata; Actinopteri; Cichliformes; Cichlidae
Exons: 3
Source: RefSeq, a predicted model, not a curated record
AGCUAUUUCUUCCUGCUGGUUUGUCCACCUUCAUUACCUCAGUGGAGGACCAAGGAGACUGAGUAUGCAGCUUUGGUCUCUGAGGACAGACAGCAACUUCUGGACAGUUCAGAUGACGAGGAGCCCGAGAGCUCCACCACAGAAGACCAACCCACCGGGCCUCUCAGUUUCAGAGAGAGACUGAGUGUCAUCAGAGGCUUGUGGAGGUUUGUGCUUCCACUGGGAGUGGUCUACUUAACCGAGUAUUUCAUCAACCAGGGUUUGGUGAGUCCUCUGGUGCCCUCUAGCAGCACACUCAGCUCACUGCAUGCUAU